UGACAGUUUCUCGCGAAUCAUGGCGGAUGUUAUGAAUACGGUGAUCAAAUAUGAUGGUGAAAACGCGUGGUUUAGUGUCGAUUUCCGUGAGAAAAAAGUGUUUUUAGACCUGGAAAAAGCAGCUCGAGAAUAACUCCGGGAAGCUGGAGAUGUUUGAUGAAACUGACGCCGUCAACUAUCUCAGCAUUUGGCAAGAAAUAUAUUUAUUUCAAAGCUGCUCCCUUUGCUAGAUUAACCAAGGCCAUCCCUUGCUCCACAAAGUGGCAGUAAAUUGGAAGUCCACUGUGGAGGUGGCUCCACCAGCUCUUAUGAAAUCGUCAGAUCUUUUCUACAAGUUCAUCGUAAAGAAUGGUCCCCAGAAAUAUAUGAGUUGUUGAAUAACGCUUCUACGUUCAACUGGAAGUCGCCGUGAAACUAAGCGACCAUCUUUGAAGCAAGUAUUCAAAGAUUUCAUAGUAUUUCAGUCGGGAAAUUAAUAAAUAACUUCAAAAUUGUCUCCAACCAUACUUAUUUAAGGUGGAACACGAUUAGAUAUAAGACGCUUUUAUGUGCCAGUUGAUGAAUCACUAAUUGUGAUGAAUUGUAAGUACAAUUGCUGAAAAAAUCUAAAUAUAUAUA
Long non-coding RNA from Phlebotomus papatasi, 618 nucleotides. RefSeq lists it as uncharacterized. The transcript is spliced from 3 exons. The record is from RefSeq and is a predicted model, not a curated record. NCBI's taxonomy places the organism in Eukaryota, Metazoa, Arthropoda, Insecta, Diptera, Psychodidae.